This 198-nucleotide ribosomal RNA is filed under the name uncultured bacterium. RNAcentral describes it as "partial 16S ribosomal RNA". It matches the Rfam family "Bacterial small subunit ribosomal RNA", at positions 328 to 539 of the family's 1533-position model. The record is from RNAcentral.
ACGCUCGACACCUACGGGAGACAGCAGUGGGGAAUAUUGCACAAUGGGGGAAACCCUGAUGCAGCGACGCCGCGUGAGCGAAGAAGUAUUUCGGUAUGUAAAGCUCUAUCAGCAGGGAAGAAACUGACGGUACCUGACUAAGAAGCACCGGCUAAAUACGUGCCAGCAGCCACGGUAAUCUGAGCGGGCUGGCAAGGC